UGGGUAACCUGCCUCAAAGAGGGGAAUAGCCUCCCGAAAGGGAGAUUAAUACCGCAUAAUAUGUUUUAAUCGCAUGAUUUUAACAUCAAAGGAUUUUCUUAGGAAAUUCCACUUUGAGAUGGACCCCGCGGCGCAUUAGCUAGUUGGUGAGGUAACGGCUCACCAAGGCAACGAAGCGUAGCCGACCUGAGAGGGUGAUCGGCCACAUUGGAACUGAGACACGGUCCAGACUCCGUACGGGAGCAG
RNAcentral lists this ribosomal RNA (246 nucleotides) under uncultured bacterium. RNAcentral describes it as "partial 16S ribosomal RNA". It matches the Rfam family "Bacterial small subunit ribosomal RNA", at positions 118 to 347 of the family's 1533-position model. The record is from RNAcentral.